AGGUUCUUGGCCGAGUGGUUUAAGGCGCUAGUCUCCAAAACUAGUUUUCAUGUGUUCGAAUCGCAUAGAACCUGCCA
Molecule: transfer RNA, 77 nt
Filed under: Clostridiales bacterium
Lineage: Bacteria; Bacillati; Bacillota; Clostridia; Eubacteriales
Description: tRNA-Trp
Rfam family: tRNA
About the family: Transfer RNA (tRNA) molecules are approximately 80 nucleotides in length. Their secondary structure includes four short double-helical elements and three loops (D, anti-codon, and T loops).
Source: RNAcentral